RNAcentral lists this ribosomal RNA (253 nucleotides) under uncultured bacterium. RNAcentral describes it as "partial 16S ribosomal RNA". It matches the Rfam family "Bacterial small subunit ribosomal RNA", at positions 524 to 776 of the family's 1533-position model. The record is from RNAcentral.
UACGUAGGGAGCAAGCGUUGUCCGGAAUCAUUGGGCGUAAAGCGCGUGUAGGCGGUCCGGUAAGUCCGCUGUGAAAGUCGGGGGCUCAACCCUCGAAUGCCGGUGGAUACUGUCGGGCUAGAGUGCGGAAGAGGCGAGUGGAAUUCCUGGUGUAGCGGUGAAAUUCGUAGAUAUCGGGAGGAACACCAGUGGCGAAGGCGGCGACCUGGACAGAUAUUGACGCUGAGGUGCGAAAGCGUGGGGAGCAAACAGG